Molecule: ribosomal RNA, 497 nt
Filed under: uncultured bacterium
Lineage: Bacteria
Description: partial 16S ribosomal RNA
Rfam family: Bacterial small subunit ribosomal RNA
Source: RNAcentral
GACGAACGCUGGCGGCGUGCCUAAUACAUGCAAGUAGAACGCUGAAGGAAGGAGCUUGCUCUUUCUGGAUGAGUUGCGAACGGGUGAGUAACGCGUAGGUAACCUGCCUGGUAGCGGGGGAUAACUAUUGGAAACGAUAGCUAAUACCGCAUAAAAUUGAUUAUUGCAUGAUAGUCAAUUAAAAGGUGCAACUGCACCACUACCAGAUGGACCUGCGUUGUAUUAGCUAGUUGGUGGGGUAACGGCUCACCAAGGCGACGAUACAUAGCCGACCUGAGAGGGUGAUCGGCCACACUGGGACUGAGACACGGCCCAGACGCCUACGGGAGGCAGCAGUAGGGAAUCUUCGGCAAUGGACGGAAGUCUGACCGAGCAACGCCGCGUGAGUGAAGAAGGUUUUCGGAUCGUAAAGCUCUGUUGUAAGAGAAGAACGAGUGUGAGAGUGGAAAGUUCACACUGUGACGGUAGCUUACCAGAAAGGGACGGCUAACUACGUG